Molecule: long non-coding RNA, 253 nt
Filed under: Manihot esculenta (cassava)
Lineage: Eukaryota; Viridiplantae; Streptophyta; Magnoliopsida; Malpighiales; Euphorbiaceae
Description: long non-coding RNA (MESC_LNC012291)
Source: RNAcentral
GGCUGCCAUUUGAUCUUUACUCCAAGAUAAUUAUAUCUUCAAUAAAGGGAGACUCAGCUCUGAUACCACUUGUUGUCCCUUGAGGCAACCCAAGAGGGGGGGUGAAUUGGGUUUAUAAAAAAUUUAAUGGCAAAGACAAGAAAUUAGAAGAGAAUGGGGAAGAGAAAAAUCAACACAAAGAUUUAUAGAGGUUCAGCUAUCCAAGCCUACGUCCUCUCCUCAAGGUCCACUUGAGAGUUCAACUCCACUAUCA